Molecule: long non-coding RNA, 914 nt
Organism: Hyaena hyaena (striped hyena)
Lineage: Eukaryota; Metazoa; Chordata; Mammalia; Carnivora; Hyaenidae
Exons: 4
Source: RefSeq, a predicted model, not a curated record
GCCUUAUAUGGAGUUGGAUGAUUUACUUCUGCUUCUCAUUUUCUAAAUGUAAGCUGACUUUCCUUGCAACAUAAAGAUGGUCAGUCAUCUCCUAUCUACCACAGGGGCUUUUCUAUUGCUGGGCCAAAACUCUUUCUCUAAAGAGCUAGACUUGAAUUACCCACUCUCAUAGGACCACCUGGAUAUGGUCAAGGUGAAGAAGAGCCACCAGUACUAUGGCUGAGCAGAAAAAUAUCCCAGAGAGAGGUUGUCAUAGGAACUGUACCCGAGGAGCAGCUACGCACAUGAUAGAAUGUACCAUCCAAAGAGGAGAGGAAGGAACUGAUCAUGAAGCUACUCUUACCAUCGGUUUUAGGGAACAAAUCUUUCAUGAAUCAUGAAUUUCCUCAUGGAAAUUGUCCUCAGUGACAGCAGCAGGGAGCCCUCUGAGGAAGACACAGUCAUUAUUCAAGUUUUCCAGAUGAAAAGAUGAAGCACAGAAAAGUUGACUUGUUCAAGGUCACAUGGUAAGUGGUAGCGCUGAAACUCAAAUGCAAGGUUGUCUGACUCUAGGGCACUUGGCCUUAGCUUCUCUGCUGGGCUAAACUAGUGGGCAAUCAAUGACUGGUAAUAGUUAUAAAAAUGAUUCUUUGGUUGUGGAAUAGUAGUAGGAGUUUCAAUUGCCUUUAGAUACAUAUGGCUGAAUGUCACUGCCUUUAUUGAUUUUGUUUUUCCCUUGAGCUUAUUUUUUCUGAAACCACACAGAAAUGUGGUCCUACAGGAUGACAAUCACUCUGUCCCAUUUCCCUCCUUACUCCCUAGUGCAGAGGUUCAGGUUGCCCCCAGACAAUUGAUAUUCUCCUAUAGAGCUCUAAAAAACUAAGAAUCUAAGACACCUGGGUAGUUCAGUUGAUUGUGUCAGACUCUUGAUUUAG